Molecule: ribosomal RNA, 451 nt
Filed under: uncultured bacterium
Lineage: Bacteria
Description: bacterial SSU rRNA
Rfam family: Bacterial small subunit ribosomal RNA
Source: RNAcentral
GUGGGGAAUUUUGCGCAAUGGGCGAAAGCCUGACGCAGCAACGCCGCGUGGAGGAUGAAGGUUCUCUGAAUCGUAAACUCCUGUCGGCCGGGAAGAAUGGGCGGAGUGCUAAUCAGCUUCGUCUUGACUGUACCGGCAAAGGAAGCCCCGGCUAACUCCGUGCCAGCAGCCGCGGUAAUACGGAGGGGGCAAGCGUUACUCGGAAUUAUUGGGCGUAAAGGGCGCGUAGGCGGUCGCGUGCGUCAGAGGUGAAAUCCCCCGGCUUAACCGGGGAGCUGCCUCUGAUACGGCGCGGCUUGAGUCCGGGAGAGGGGAGCAGAAUUCCCAGUGUAGCGGUGAAAUGCGUAGAUAUUGGGAGGAAUACCGGUGGCGAAGGCGGCUCCCUGGACCGGUACUGACGCUGAGGCGCGAAAGCGUGGGUAGCAAACAGGAUUAGAAACCCCGGUAGUCC